RNAcentral lists this unclassified non-coding RNA (226 nucleotides) under uncultured fungus. RNAcentral's name for it is "sequence contains ITS1, 5.8S rRNA gene". The record is from RNAcentral. Lineage: Eukaryota; Fungi.
UCUCCGUAGGUGAACCUGCGGAGGGAUCAUUACUGAGUGAGGGCUUCGGUCCGACCUCCAACCCUUUGUGAACCAAACUUGUUGCUUCGGGGGCGACCCUGCCGCUUCGGCGGUGCGGCGCCCGCGGAGGCCAUUAAACACUGCAUCAUUGCGUCGGAGUUAAAGUAAAUUAAACAAAACUGGCAACAACGGAUCUCUUCGUUCCAGCAUCGAUGAAGAACGCAGC